CCACUCCAGUGUUUCUGUUCAUUUUAGAGAGCUCCCACAUUUAAUUUCCAAGAUUAAAAGGAAAUAAGAAAUCUGGAGCUCUAGAAAUCAUUUCUGUUUCCUUUCAGAGCAAUUCUGCAUGUUUGACAUCUUCUCUAUUGUUUAUGUCAGGCAAACAGAGGCUGGAUAACACAGAGUGGGCUGCAGCGGUAAGACAGUGAGUGAAUACCUAUGAGCCUCUGUGAUUCAUCGUUCCAAGGAGCUCUUGCUUUAAUUACAGAGGGCUGCCAGAUGAGGAAAACCAUGAGGAUUUAUGACUUUGGGGUAGAGUGAAAGCUGUCCUAGGCAUUUCAACCCAAAACUACAAAUCAAGACUUUUAUUAGAAAGUGACAAUGAAGGGUUGAGCAGCCAAACAUUCUCCAGGAGAAAACUGCCACAUGAAAGAGCAACCCUGCUUAACCCAUGGAAAAAUCAAUCUGAAAUUAAAGCUUUUCAAUGGCUGAAGGAUCCACCUGUAGGAUUUCCUCUAGCUAAGGUCACUCCACCCACCACAUGUGCAAGAUCAAGUGUUAUUUCUGAGGAUGUGAUUUUUUUCCAUCAUUGAUGGGAGAGAUGAGAACUAUCUUCAAGUCAUUACUGUGUCAAUACUCAGUUAUCAAGGAAAAACAUUAAAGGUAUUUUGACACAUAUGGAAUAGAACAGUAUCAAACAACUUCUUCAAAAUGAAGAGAAAGUAAAAAUAACAAGUCAGCAACACAUUUGAAAUUCCUAUAAUAAUGUGAAACACUAUUCUACCAUUUCUCUGGAAGAGGAUUUUCUGUGAAGUUGCCUCUAUAUGUGCAAGGCAACUGUUUACCUGACUAGCUCCUAAACUCUCUACAUUUCAAGCCAAAAGAUCAGAGAAAAUGGACAAGUUUGAGAAUGUCACCUCAGCUGGGAUUUUUGAUCACAGAAGGUUCUUAGUGACAACAGUGGUUCAUGGGAUAAGAUGAUGGAGUGUUUGAAAGAUAUUAGUGGUGACUUGAGGAGAGUUUUGCAAAGACACAACAAAUGCUGAUAUUGUUGUGAGCUGUGAUGCUCCAAACCAUCUAUCUGCUGAGCACUUCUGGUCUGGAGAAAAUUUGAAUUAUGACUGUUUUCCUGCUGUCCAGGCUUGGAAAACAACAGAAUCCAAGAUCUGCCAUUAGAGUAUUCUUAAUGUUUUAAAGACAUGGGAGCCAACAAAUGUUUAAUUUUUUUU
Molecule: long non-coding RNA, 1220 nt
Organism: Cyanistes caeruleus (blue tit)
Lineage: Eukaryota; Metazoa; Chordata; Aves; Passeriformes; Paridae
Source: Ensembl